UAGUUUCAUAAAGCGCCUGGACUGCAAGUCGAUGCAGUUGACGAGGAGGAGGUUCAUCGAACGUCGGCGGAUGCUCCCGGUUGUUUUGUCACAACCGAAAGUCAUUGACUGAAAACGAAGAGGUGACUCUUCGUACAAAAGCAAUGACCAUGACAGU
Molecule: non-coding RNA, 157 nt
Filed under: Geomicrobium sp. JCM 19038
Lineage: Bacteria; Bacillati; Bacillota; Bacilli; Caryophanales
Also listed under: 1 other name
Description: glmS glucosamine-6-phosphate activated ribozyme aptamer
Rfam family: glmS glucosamine-6-phosphate activated ribozyme aptamer
About the family: This entry contains a glucosamine-6-phosphate activated ribozyme that is found in the mRNA for GlmS. GlmS is an enzyme that uses fructose-6-phosphate and glutamine to generate glucosamine-6-phosphate.
Source: Rfam by way of RNAcentral